GAAGCACGCCAGACCGCCGCUGGUGCAAGUCUCGAAAGAGCGCACUGGAGGAACGUCCGGACUGCAUAGGACAGCGCAGGAGUUAACGACUCUCCACCGUGAGGUGAGGAUCAGAGCAACAGAGACGAGCCGAUUAAGUUCGGGUGAAACGGGCAAUCUCUGCGCGCAGCAACACCAAGUAGGCCAGUAUUGAGGUGGUUCCGCUGAGCUGGCGGGUAGGUGGCAUCGAGCCGUCUGGCGACAGGCGGCCCAGAGUAAUGGCGGUCACGUCGAGGGCUUCGCAAGAGGCCCUCGAUGCACAGAAUCCGGCUUAUCGGCGGGCUUCACAC
Molecule: RNase P RNA, 329 nt
Filed under: Variovorax sp. YR752
Lineage: Bacteria; Pseudomonadati; Pseudomonadota; Betaproteobacteria; Burkholderiales; Comamonadaceae
Also listed under: 2 other names
Description: Bacterial RNase P class A
Rfam family: Bacterial RNase P class A
About the family: Ribonuclease P (RNase P) is a ubiquitous endoribonuclease, found in archaea, bacteria and eukarya as well as chloroplasts and mitochondria. Its best characterised activity is the generation of mature 5'-ends of tRNAs by cleaving the 5'-leader elements of precursor-tRNAs.
Source: RNAcentral